GGGGCGACGGUGGUGAGGGGCUUAUGCUUGCAGAAGAAGGUGCUGAGCUUGGUAAUCUGCUAGAAAGCGGCCAAAUAGACCGCCUUCACCACAUCCCACCGCCUACGCCAUGGCAGAACCCAACGACGCUGCCAUCUGCCACCAUAGGCGGGGAACACCGCCGCUAGCAUCAUCGAGCUCCAGCAUACGGGGAUGGGUUUCCUCUAGGAAUCGGCGGUAGAGAAGAGCAAACUGCAUGCUACAACACUCGCAUGUCGAGAUGACUUGCGCUAACGUGCUCGGUGACCAUGCCGUUCAGCAUGUUGAGCGGCUCUGUUCAAGAAUCUGUGGCUCUCUGCUAUCCUCUGUGACCUUCAGCUUUGUAAGUCAUACAUUCAGUAACAGUUUCAGCAAACCACCAGCAAGUAGCAGGAGAUGGGUCGCAAGUUUGAGCAUUUUUCUGAUUCGAAUGUUGUAUUUUUUCCAGUUAUACAAAAUGUAUGUGUGUUUCAGGAAAUCAUCAAACAUAAUACUGGAAAAUGUCUUCACUGAAGCUGUUAUACGUCUUGACGAUUUUGAAGUGGGUCUUUCAGUCUUUGAAUGCUAAAACGCUGGUGACUCAUGGAAAAUACUAUGCAUGGUGCGGCUGAUCAAAGGCAGAGACAAAGAGUGUGUCCAUCAGUUGUAUGGAAAGACUAUGACCAGUUGGAGCCCAUACUCCAUUGUAGCGAUGAGAUGGAAUUUUUAGGCAGUCAUCCGAGUGUCACCCCUGCUAAUGUGUAUGUGGCAUCAUGUGAUGAGUUGAUGAAUAUUGCAGGUGUGCUUGCCUGCUUCGACCGUAGUCGCCCUGGAGGCAUCCACAGACUUCCGUGGUUAGUUAUGAUCUCUUUUUUUCAUUCUCCGAAACUUUGGAAUGGUUAAAAAUGUUGUAAGUUAGCUUCAAAAUCUUGAACCAUACCAUCUAUAAUUUGGAGAUGCUUCUUUUCUCCAUGGGGUCUUGAAAAAUGGAAAAAAUAAUAGAACAAUUGUUCACUUCUGGAUUGUAACAUAGCUUUAUCGGAACCCUUCCGCACCUUUAUGACUGAUGUUUGAAGCUUUUGAUGUUUGAGAUGUUUCACUCUACAUGUCUGGAGAAUGAUACCAGUGCACCUGUUGUGGUGUUCCCACACGGACCAUCAGUUGGGUGAUCAUCAUGCCGAG
This is a long non-coding RNA of Lolium rigidum, 1179 nucleotides long. RefSeq lists it as uncharacterized. The record is from RefSeq and is a predicted model, not a curated record. NCBI's taxonomy places the organism in Eukaryota, Viridiplantae, Streptophyta, Magnoliopsida, Poales, Poaceae. The transcript has 3 exons.